GCUUCUAUAGCUCAGCCGGUAGAGCGUGCGGCUGUUACACCAUUUCGAGCACUGAUGCUCGGUGUCUCUGCCACCGCAAGGUCGACGGUUCAAGCCCGUCUGGAAGCG
Chlamydomonas reinhardtii is the source of this 108-nucleotide non-coding RNA. The record is from Rfam. Lineage: Eukaryota; Viridiplantae; Chlorophyta; Chlorophyceae; Chlamydomonadales; Chlamydomonadaceae.